GCUUCGAAUUGUGACAUCCAGAACUAGUGGUGUGGAAAUGGAAUAGAAAAGACGAUUUUUUUCUUAAUGGAAAUACGGCCUUGCAGAGUUCUAGAGCUAUUUUGCCUGUAAUAUUUUUGCUGACGUUUUUUAAAUUGUUUGGGUUAAAACAUUCUUUUUUAAAUUUUUUCGUUCCAAUUCUUUAUUCCUGUAUCGAUCCCAUCUUAUAUUACAGCGUUUUCUUUGUGUUUUAUUUUUAUUUCGAAAGUCAUCACAACUAUACUAUUGCAGUUAAGCCUAAGACUAGACAUAAAAUUGUUGAUUCAAAUGUCUGCGAAGUGGUAUUGAAUUACCAAGUUCUGAAAUUGUCGAACUCAGAAGCGAAGGGAUGCGAUUAAGGAUUGGUAAGAUGUACUAACGUAGACUAAACUUAGGAAUAGAGUUGUUAAUUUUACAGUUAGAACAUAGCAAAAUGUAAACUUUGAAUUGCACCCGACAAAGGACGGCGAUCGAAGAUUUUGCUUCAUUUGAGGCAGAGACCGACCGCCCGAUAUCAAGAACAGGAGAGAGAAGGCACAUCGGGAUUGCAGUAUGAAUUGAAAAAUGAAGAAAUUAGGGUAAUUUAAUUUACCUGUUGCAAUUGAUGUGAUGAGACGGAAUGUAGAAAUGUGACGAAUUUUGAGCAUAACUUGAUCACAUCUACAACAUUCAGAACAGUAUUACUAAAAGAUAUGAACGUACGACCUUGGUGACAAAGAAAAUGUUGCUUCGAGAUCCCCAGAUACAAUGUUCAGGGUCUGGUGUAAUGCGAAUCGUUAAAAUCUCCUAUUGUAAUGUAUUUUAAUAUGAAAGACUGAGAAAUAUGCCCGUUAACGAAUUUUUAUGUCAUGUAGAAAUUUUCUCUCGCAGUAUUUUUAAUACGAUUUUGCAUAGCAUCUUUUGUCCCGACUGACUUGCUUUCCAAAUUUACCGAUUUGAACUAAGUCUGAUAAAAGGUGUCCAUAUAGUCCAUUUACAAUUUCUUUAUAAAGUAAGUUCUCAAUAUAUCUUACCCAGGUUUGUUAUUUUAAUCAGUAACUUGUUCAGAUAUUUUUAUUUCGUUUAAUACAUCUGUUGAGGGCCAAAACAAUAAAAUGGUAAUGAUAAAUUUUCUUUGCAAUUUCAAAAAAAUUCGAUUUUAUGACACGUUAUAUAUCUGAAGCAAUUUAAGUCAUUACAGUACGGAAAACAGUUGUUUUGCACCAUUAUAACCCAAUAUUAUUGGAAUAAACGUAUUAAAAUAAAUAAAUAAUAAGCAGAUAAAUAUCAAUAAUUCUAAUCGUGCCGAUAACCUUAUAAGAUCUCUGCAAAAUGAGAUGUCCUUUUUUUCCAAUUUUUGUCCCAAUUUUUGUACAAUUCUUACGACUAAAGCGGUUUCGAUAACAGCCCUUUACGUAAAGUUUUCGGUUGCAAUUAUGAGAACCUGAGAGUUGAUGCGUUUUUAUUGGUAAUUGAUUCUGAGAUGAGGGUGUCCAGUCAAAUAAUUAUCCUAAUCGUCCAGAGAUUAAUAUCAAGGAGGUUUGUCUGUAUUCGUGAAGCUCUGGUUUAGCUCUAAAUGUUCAUGUUUUAUAUACAUAUCGCCCCUGCUCGAUGUAAAGUAUGUGAAAAAAUAAACAACUGCUCGAGACUAUGAUUGUGCAAGUGUGCGCUAAAAUUCAUCUAUAUUUGUUCGAUUUAUUAAUAUAAAAUUUUUUCAUGUCUUUGAUAUUCCUCACCGAUUUAUAUAUAUUAUUCUGU
Non-coding RNA from Styela clava, 1755 nucleotides. NCBI's taxonomy places the organism in Eukaryota, Metazoa, Chordata, Ascidiacea, Stolidobranchia, Styelidae. The record is from RefSeq and is a predicted model, not a curated record.